UGUUCUUGAUCAGUCGGUUUAAGGUAUGGAAUUCCUUUUAUCACAUGAUUGUUUAUUCUUCACAAGUUUUCUUUCUGUUACUCGAGUAAAACUAUCAACGAGGAGUUGUAUUUGUACCCAUUACAUGUAUUACUGUGUUGCAUGAAUUUUUGCUGAGCAUACAGCUCUAAAUUACAUCACAUCCUUCUUUCCUUCAUUGAUCCAUUCUCUUCUUGACUUCGUUCCCCAAAAUAACUGAUGCAGAACAUCUCAACUUAACCACCAAACCUUUUCUCUAUGUAAGCCUGCUACGUGUGUAUGCGCCAAUGGAACCAGUCUUACUAUAAAUAUCAUUAAUGACACUAUACACCACCCCAUAACAAAUUAGAGAGAGAGAGAGAGAGA
Molecule: unclassified non-coding RNA, 384 nt
Filed under: Hevea brasiliensis (rubber tree)
Lineage: Eukaryota; Viridiplantae; Streptophyta; Magnoliopsida; Malpighiales; Euphorbiaceae
Source: RNAcentral